GGAAAUCUGAGCUGCUGAUCAUCACAGUUGUGCUCAAAGGUCCAGGAGUCACAGUGAAUGUCUCAGAAGAAAGUGAUGUCAUCUUACCCUGCUCCCUCGGCACCAAUCAGAACCUUGAACAGAAGCUGUUUGAUUGGAGGAAAAAAGCACCAACUAAACAGGAGGUGUUCAUGUAUGAUGGAGGCCUUCAUUACAAUAAUGGACGUCGAGGUCAAGACGAGCACUUCAGAGGACGGGUCUCACAUUUUCCACAAGAGCUGCAGUUUGGUAACGCCUCCAUCAUCAUCAGAAACACCACGGUGGCUGACAGUGGAGUCUACACCUGUGAUUUUCCACGUCUGCAGCCACAACAAAGAUUCUGCAUUAAACUUGUUGUUGAACUGACCUUGAAAGAUCGAUCAGGAGAAAUCCCAGGUGAGUGAUGAUGUCACUGAUGUGUGCAUCUGUAACCUGUGUGAGCGGUUUGAAACUUGCCCCUGUUAUUUUCUGACAUCCCUUAACUUUUCAACCUGCGGUAUCCACCUUGACGGUGCCGACAUAUAUUUCACUUUUCAUCAUUUUUCAUCAUUUCAACUUUUUACUUCUGCACAACUUACACACACUAACAAGUCUAUCCUUCAGCUUUAACACUAAAGAAUAACAGAACAAACUCCUCUAAGAGCUAUAACCCAAAACAAAGCAGAAAGCAACAGAUCCCACUUAGCGCACACUCUCUCACCGCUCAGCAGUCAUCACCCCAAACACAGGUCAAGACAGAUAACGUCUUUACACAUGCAGCAGCUCCCACUCACAGCCACACACACACUUCCACACCAUGGUUUCACAGCAAAGUUACACAUAGAUCCCAGCAUUAAACUCUGCUCCUUCACUUUCUCCCAUAUUAAUAAUUUUAACAAUGUAACAUUUUUAACUAUCCAAUUACAAAGGACACAUUUAAUGUUCUUUUUCAAGGCGAGGUGAAAAUGUACCUUGAACCCGGGCAGAAUCCCCUCAGACAGCACCAAUUAUUUUAUGCAGAAAAAAGCUCUGCUUACCUUAUCUUAUGCGGCCGCUUGGUGCUCUCUGGGUGCGCCGAGUGGCAACAACACCCAAGAUCCACAGCUGACGCCUCCAACUCCUUGUCCCUUCGUUCGGUCGCCAAAUUGUGGUUGUCCCUUCGUUCGAUCUCCAAAUUGUGGUUGUCACAAUUGAGAGCAAUUCUUCAGAUUAGCAGUAGGUGGACCUCAGC
Long non-coding RNA from Oreochromis aureus, 1228 nucleotides. The record is from Ensembl. Lineage: Eukaryota; Metazoa; Chordata; Actinopteri; Cichliformes; Cichlidae.